RNAcentral lists this ribosomal RNA (3983 nucleotides) under Drosophila melanogaster (fruit fly). RNAcentral's name for it is "eukaryotic LSU rRNA". The stretch from base 576 to 3983 matches the Rfam family "Eukaryotic large subunit ribosomal RNA". Lineage: Eukaryota; Metazoa; Arthropoda; Insecta; Diptera; Drosophilidae. The record is from RNAcentral.
AAAACUCUAAGCGGUGGAUCACUCGGCUCAUGGGUCGAUGAAGAACGCAGCAAACUGUGCGUCAUCGUGUGAACUGCAGGACACAUGAACAUCGACAUUUUGAACGCAUAUCGCAGUCCAUGCUGUUAUGUACUUUAAUUAAUUUUAUAGUGCUGCUUGGACUACAUAUGGUUGAGGGUUGUAAGACUAUGCUAAUUAAGUUGCUUAUAAAUUUUUAUAAGCAUAUGGUAUAUUAUUGGAUAAAUAUAAUAAUUUUUAUUCAUAAUAUUAAAAAAUAAAUGAAAAACAUUAUCUCACAUUUGAAUGUGAAAAACGAAGAGAAAUAUUUUCUUUUUCAAUCAAAUAAUACUGAGAAAUGUCUAGCAUAAAAAAUUGAAAUAUUUUUCAUCUAGAAUUGUCUCUUAUUAAUGAUUCGGAAAUAGAAAAAUCUUGGUUAUGUUAUUAUUCUUCGUUGGUUCGUUAAAAAUGGAUAAAUAAAAACUUUGCAUACAAGAAUUAAUAAAAAUGUUAUAACGAAUUUAAUUAAAUGUUUUAUCAUUAUAUAUAAAGAAUUUAUGGCAAGAUAAAGUUAUAUACAACCUCAACUCAUAUGGGACUACCCCCUGAAUUUAAGCAUAUUAAUUAGGGGAGGAAAAGAAACUAACAAGGAUUUUCUUAGUAGCGGCGAGCGAAAAGAAAACAGUUCAGCACUAAGUCACUUUGUCUAUAUGGCAAAUGUGAGAUGCAGUGUAUGGAGCGUCAAUAUUCUAGUAUGAGAAAUUAACGAUUUAAGUCCUUCUUAAAUGAGGCCAUUUACCCAUAGAGGGUGCCAGGCCCGUAUAACGUUAAUGAUUACUAGAUGAUGUUUCCAAAGAGUCGUGUUGCUUGAUAGUGCAGCACUAAGUGGGUGGUAAACUCCAUCUAAAACUAAAUAUAACCAUGAGACCGAUAGUAAACAAGUACCGUGAGGGAAAGUUGAAAAGAACUCUGAAUAGAGAGUUAAACAGUACGUGAAACUGCUUAGAGGUUAAGCCCGAUGAACCUGAAUAUCCGUUAUGGAAAAUUCAUCAUUAAAAUUGUAAUAUUUAAAUAAUAUUAUGAGAAUAGUGUGCAUUUUUUCCAUAUAAGGACAUUGUAAUCUAUUAGCAUAUACCAAAUUUAUCAUAAAAUAUAACUUAUAGUUUAUUCCAAUUAAAUUGCUUGCAUUUUAACACAGAAUAAAUGUUAUUAAUUUGAUAAAGUGCUGAUAGAUUUAUAUGAUUACAGUGCGUUAAUUUUUCGGAAUUAUAUAAUGGCAUAAUUAUCAUUGAUUUUUGUGUUUAUUAUAUGCACUUGUAUGAUUAACAAUGCGAAAGAUUCAGGAUACCUUCGGGACCCGUCUUGAAACACGGACCAAGGAGUCUAACAUAUGUGCAAGUUAUUGGGAUAUAAACCUAAUAGCGUAAUUAACUUGACUAAUAAUGGGAUUAGUUUUUUAGCUAUUUAUAGCUAAUUAACACAAUCCCGGGGCGUUCUAUAUAGUUAUGUAUAAUGUAUAUUUAUAUUAUUUAUGCCUCUAACUGGAACGUACCUUGAGCAUAUAUGCUGUGACCCGAAAGAUGGUGAACUAUACUUGAUCAGGUUGAAGUCAGGGGAAACCCUGAUGGAAGACCGAAACAGUUCUGACGUGCAAAUCGAUUGUCAGAAUUGAGUAUAGGGGCGAAAGACCAAUCGAACCAUCUAGUAGCUGGUUCCUUCCGAAGUUUCCCUCAGGAUAGCUGGUGCAUUUUAAUAUUAUAUAAAAUAAUCUUAUCUGGUAAAGCGAAUGAUUAGAGGCCUUAGGGUCGAAACGAUCUUAACCUAUUCUCAAACUUUAAAUGGGUAAGAACCUUAACUUUCUUGAUAUGAAGUUCAAGGUUAUGAUAUAAUGUGCCCAGUGGGCCACUUUUGGUAAGCAGAACUGGCGCUGUGGGAUGAACCAAACGUAAUGUUACGGUGCCCAAAUUAACAACUCAUGCAGAUACCAUGAAAGGCGUUGGUUGCUUAAAACAGCAGGACGGUGAUCAUGGAAGUCGAAAUCCGCUAAGGAGUGUGUAACAACUCACCUGCCGAAGCAACUAGCCCUUAAAAUGGAUGGCGCUUAAGUUGUAUACCUAUACAUUACCGCUAAAGUAGAUGAUUUAUAUUACUUGUGAUAUAAAUUUUGAAACUUUAGUGAGUAGGAAGGUACAAUGGUAUGCGUAGAAGUGUUUGGCGUAAGCCUGCAUGGAGCUGCCAUUGGUACAGAUCUUGGUGGUAGUAGCAAAUAAUCGAAUGAGACCUUGGAGGACUGAAGUGGAGAAGGGUUUCGUGUGAACAGUGGUUGAUCACGAGUUAGUCGGUCCUAAGUUCAAGGCGAAAGCCGAAAAUUUUCAAGUAAAACAAAAAUGCCUAACUAUAUAAACAAAGCGAAUUAUAAUACACUUGAAUAAUUUUGAACGAAAGGGAAUACGGUUCCAAUUCCGUAACCUGUUGAGUAUCCGUUUGUUAUUAAAUAUGGGCCUCGUGCUCAUCCUGGCAACAGGAACGACCAUAAAGAAGCCGUCGAGAGAUAUCGGAAGAGUUUUCUUUUCUGUUUUAUAGCCGUACUACCAUGGAAGUCUUUCGCAGAGAGAUAUGGUAGAUGGGCUAGAAGAGCAUGACAUAUACUGUUGUGUCGAUAUUUUCUCCUCGGACCUUGAAAAUUUAUGGUGGGGACACGCAAACUUCUCAACAGGCCGUACCAAUAUCCGCAGCUGGUCUCCAAGGUGAAGAGUCUCUAGUCGAUAGAAUAAUGUAGGUAAGGGAAGUCGGCAAAUUAGAUCCGUAACUUCGGGAUAAGGAUUGGCUCUGAAGAUUGAGAUAGUCGGGCUUGAUUGGGAAACAAUAACAUGGUUUAUGUGCUCGUUCUGGGUAAAUAGAGUUUCUAGCAUUUAUGUUAGUUACUUGUUCCCCGGAUAGUUUAGUUACGUAGCCAAUUGUGGAACUUUCUUGCUAAAAUUUUUAAGAAUACUAUUUGGGUUAAACCAAUUAGUUCUUAUUAAUUAUAACGAUUAUCAAUUAACAAUCAAUUCAGAACUGGCACGGACUUGGGGAAUCCGACUGUCUAAUUAAAACAAAGCAUUGUGAUGGCCCUAGCGGGUGUUGACACAAUGUGAUUUCUGCCCAGUGCUCUGAAUGUCAAAGUGAAGAAAUUCAAGUAAGCGCGGGUCAACGGCGGGAGUAACUAUGACUCUCUUAAGUGAAGCAGGGUGACCCUUUGUCUCCUAUUCUAUUUAACUUGGUAAUGGACAGGUUACUUAGAACCUUACCCAGCGAAAUUGGUGCCAAAGUCGGAAAUGCCAUUACUAACGCGGCCGCGUUUGCAGAUGAUUUGGUACUAUUUGCGGAAACUCGGAUGGGGCUUCAAGUAUUGUUGGACAAGACGUUGGAUUUUCUAUCUAUCGUCGGCCUCAAACUUAAUGCCGACAAAUGUUUUACCGUUGGCAUUAAGGGCCAGCCGAAACAGAAGUGUACCGUGUUAGAGGCACAGAGCUUCUACGUAGGCUCGAGUGAGAUUCCAUCACUGAAGCGCACGGACGAGUGGAAGUACUUAGGCAUCAACUUCACUGCAACCGGGAGGGUUCGAUGCAAUCCGGCCGAGGACAUUGGUCCAAAGCUACAAAGAUUGACAAAGGCCCCCUCAAACCACAACAGAGGUUGUUCGCCCUUCGGACUGUCCUUAUCCCACAGCUCUACCACAAGUUAGCCCUUGGGAGUGUGGCGAUAGGCGUCCUAAGAAAAACUGAUAAACUUAUAAGAUAUUAUGUGCGAAGAUGGCUAAAUCUUCCGCUGGAUGUGCCGAUAGCAUUUGUUCAUGCACCCCCAAAAAGUGGAGGUCUCGGAAUUCCAUCACUAAGAUGGGUAGCUCCAAUGUUAAGGCUAAGACGCUUGAGUAACAUUAAAUGGCCUCACCUCACGCAAAACGAGGUAGCCAGCUCUUUCCUCGAAGCCGAAAAACAACGGGC